CCCUUAGAUGUCCGGGGCCGCACGCGCGCUACAAUGGAUGAAUCAACGCGUCAUCCUGGCCCGAAAGGGUUGGGGAACCGCUGAACCUCAUCCGUGGUUGGGAUUGGGGUUUGUAAUUAUUCCCCAUGAACUGGGAAUUCCCAGUAAGCGCGAGUCAUAAGCUCGCGUUGAUUACGUCCCUGCCCUUUGUACACACCGCCCGUCGCUACUACCGAUUGGAUGGUUUAGUGAGAUCCUCGGAUUGGUCACGGCACGGUGGCAACACUGCGUCGGUGUGCCGAGAAGACGAUCAAACUUGAUCAUCUAGAGGAAGUAAAAGUCGUAACA
Molecule: ribosomal RNA, 327 nt
Filed under: uncultured eukaryote
Lineage: Eukaryota
Description: partial 18S ribosomal RNA
Rfam family: Eukaryotic small subunit ribosomal RNA
Source: RNAcentral